This 359-nucleotide transfer RNA is filed under the name uncultured Microcystis sp. Its description in RNAcentral is "partial 16S-23S ribosomal RNA intergenic spacer". The stretch from base 134 to 207 matches the Rfam family "tRNA". The record is from RNAcentral. Lineage: Bacteria; Bacillati; Cyanobacteriota; Cyanophyceae; Chroococcales; Microcystaceae.
UAAGGGAGACCUAAUUCGGGUAUAAGACGAAAAAAAAGUAGUCCCUACCAAGAAUCAAUCCCAAAAGGUCGGAACGAGGUAUGAGGCUUUCAAACUAGGUUCUGGGUUCAUAAAAGACCUGAAUCAGGAACAAGGGCUAUUAGCUCAGGUGGUUAGAGCGCACCCCUGAUAAGGGUGAGGUCCCUGGUUCGAGUCCAGGAUGGCCCACCUGCACAGGUGGCAAAAACAAGAGAAGCGAGGAAUCAGCACCUUAUCUUACUGACAUAGUAAGAGAGAAUGCUGGCUCUGAGUAAAGAGUCCAGAGGAACCUUGAAAACUGCAUAGAGCUAGGUGAAAAAGCCAAAAAAGAAGACCGCAAG